Molecule: ribosomal RNA, 331 nt
Filed under: uncultured Clostridium sp.
Lineage: Bacteria; Bacillati; Bacillota; Clostridia; Eubacteriales; Clostridiaceae
Description: bacterial SSU rRNA
Rfam family: Bacterial small subunit ribosomal RNA
Source: RNAcentral
AGCGUAGGCGGGCUCUUAAGUUGGAUGUUUAAAACCGGGGCCCAACCCCGGCGUGGCAUCCAAAACUGGGAGUCUUGAAUGGGACAGAGGCCAGUGGAAUUGGAGGUGUAGCGGUGGAAUGCGUAGAGAUCUCCAAGAACACCAGUUGCGAAGGCGGCUGGCUGGGUCCACAUUGACGCUGAGGCUCGAAAGCGUGGGGAGCAAACAGGAUUAGAUACCCUGGUAGUCCACGCCGUAAACGAUGAACACUAGGUUUUGAGCUCGUCAACGGCUCAGAGCCGCAGCUAACGCGUUAAGUGUUCCGCCUGGGGAAUACGGUCGCAAGACUGAA